GUGUCAGCCGCCGCGGUAAUACGGGGGGGGCAAGCGUUGUUCGGAAUUACUGGGCGUAAAGGGCUUGUAGGCGGCCUGCUAAGUCGGACGUGAAAUCCCUUGGCUCAACUGAGGAACUGCGUCCGAGACUGGCGGGCUUGAGUUCGGGAGAGGGACGUGGAAUUCCAGGUGUAGCGGUGAAAUGCGUAGAUAUCUGGAGGAACACCGGUGGCGAAGGCGACGUCCUGGACCGACACUGACGCUGAGGAGCGAAAGCCAGGGGAGCAAACGGGAUUAGAUACCCCGGUAGUCCUGGCCCUAAACGAUGGGUACUAGGCGUCGGGGGGAGCGACCCUCUCGGUGCCGUCGCUAACGCAGUAAGUACCCCGCCUGGGGAGUACGGCCGCAAGGCUGAAACUCAAAGGAAUUGGCGG
RNAcentral lists this ribosomal RNA (413 nucleotides) under uncultured bacterium. RNAcentral describes it as "bacterial SSU rRNA". It matches the Rfam family "Bacterial small subunit ribosomal RNA", at positions 505 to 916 of the family's 1533-position model. The record is from RNAcentral.